CGCACAUUGCGCCCAUUAGUAUUCUAGCGGGCAUGCCUGUUCGAGCGUCAUUUCAACCCUCAGGCCUUUAGUUGUCUGGUGUUGGGGCAUCUACAGCGAUGUAGACCCCGAAAAAUAGUGGCGGUGCUCGCCAGCACUCCGGGCGCAGUAGUUUAUUUCUCGCCUAGGACGUCUGGUAGGCUGCCGGCCGUGAAACCCCCCCCCUAUAUUAUAAAAGGUUGACCUCGAAUCAGGUAGGAAUACCCGCUGAACUUAA
Molecule: unclassified non-coding RNA, 256 nt
Filed under: Sordariales sp.
Lineage: Eukaryota; Fungi; Ascomycota; Sordariomycetes; Sordariales
Description: partial contains 5.8S ribosomal RNA, internal transcribed spacer 2, and large subunit ribosomal RNA
Source: RNAcentral